Molecule: ribosomal RNA, 399 nt
Filed under: uncultured bacterium
Lineage: Bacteria
Description: bacterial SSU rRNA
Rfam family: Bacterial small subunit ribosomal RNA
Source: RNAcentral
UUAGGAAUCUUCCACAAUGGGCGAAAGCCUGAUGGAGCGACGCCGCGUGAGGGAUGAAGGCCUUAGGGUUGUAAACCUCUAAAAGAGGGACGAUAAUGACGGUACCUCUUGAAUAGCACCGGCUAACUCCGUGCCAGCAGCCGCGGUAAUACGGAGGGUGCAAGCGUUAUCCGGAAUCACUGGGCGUAAAGGGCGCGUAGGCGGUCUGUUAAGUCCGAUGUUAAAUCCCGGGGCUCAACCCCGGAUAAGCGUUGGAUACUGGCAGGCUAGACGGUUGGAGAGGCGAGUGGAAUUACCAGUGUAGCGGUGGAAUGCGUAGAUACUGGUAGGAACACCCAUUGCGAAGGCAGCUCGCUGGACAACACGUGACGCUGAGGCGCGAAAGUGUGGGGAGCAAAC